AGUAGUAGCCAAGACAUAGCAAUUCAAAUCUUGGAUGAUUUGAAUAGUAAAAUUCGGGCCAGGGAUGGAACGUAUUUUACGGUGCGUUAAGUGGCUUGGCGGAGACG
Regulatory RNA element from Kangiella koreensis DSM 16069, 107 nucleotides. NCBI's taxonomy places the organism in Bacteria, Pseudomonadati, Pseudomonadota, Gammaproteobacteria, Kangiellales, Kangiellaceae. The record is from Rfam.